GCAUGCUUGUGGCAAACCUGUGCGCGGUGCACGCAGCUACGACGUAUGUGGAUUGGCGAUUUUGAAAAGGGGUGUUCAGUUCUUAGUUCUGAGAGGGCUGUACACUCAUUUUGGAGGACGAUAUGACUGUGCAAGAUAUAUAAUUACUGGUCGGGUUUUCGAAUAUGUAACAAGAAGAGUCUGAUCGUAAUGCCAGGCCAGUGGGUGAUUCUCUAAACGCUCUAAUCUCUCCCAAGCAAGGAUUUCAUUAUGUAUCUGCGUGUAGUUUCGCCAAACCGAUAUUUUCAAAUGCAUUAUGGAUUUAUGGAACAUUAUUCACCUAUUACUUAAUUUUGUGAACGUUUUCGGAGGGCUGCGUGGCUGAACUAAAGACAUUUGGGGCAAAGCAGCUACGUAGCCGUUUUUUUAUGUUACAGUAUUUUAACAAUGAGAGCAGCAACGGCACCUCCCAUGAGAAAUCUGCAUGCACAAACAGCAUGGAGACCUACCAUGGCACAGCCUCGGCAUGCUGCCAGCCUGGUGUCACCUGAACAGACAUUAGAGAUGUGAACCUGCCGUUGGCAUCAUGGUCAGGGCUUUGCAGCAACAGCGGGAGCCAUUCAAAAUGGAGUGUGGGAAAGCUUUCACGUUGCCCUCCUGCAGGGCGGCAGUCUGGUCGGCGGGAGCGUGCAGUUGUCCAGGUAAGGAUGUGUGUCUGUGUGGAUGUCUAUGCAUUUAUACAUACAGUAUGCUGGUGCUGUGCAUCUGUGCUUGUGUU
Oncorhynchus tshawytscha (Chinook salmon) is the source of this 757-nucleotide long non-coding RNA. NCBI's taxonomy places the organism in Eukaryota, Metazoa, Chordata, Actinopteri, Salmoniformes, Salmonidae. The record is from Ensembl.